This is a long non-coding RNA of Oncorhynchus nerka (sockeye salmon), 4685 nucleotides long. RefSeq lists it as uncharacterized. The transcript is spliced from 4 exons. The record is from RefSeq and is a predicted model, not a curated record. NCBI's taxonomy places the organism in Eukaryota, Metazoa, Chordata, Actinopteri, Salmoniformes, Salmonidae.
UAGAUGUUCAUGUUAUGGCUUGGGGGUAGAAGCUAUUUAGGAGCCUCUUGGACCUAGACUUGGCGCUCCGGUACCGUUUGCCGUGCGGUAGCAGAGGGUCGCAUACAUCGCACCGGACGUCGAUCCCCCGUUCGUCCACCGAUUUUUCAGUGAGCUGUUGACAUCAGUAAAAUUGUUUUGCACUCGGUUCGUAAAGUACUCGCCGCAGUCACACAUUAUUGGUGUAUCCGUGCUAUAAGACCGUGGCCGCUAAACGUGUGUUUAGAAAAUCCCCAGUCUGAAGUAUGUAGGGGUUACGUCAUGUUGAGACAGGAUGACAUGGCAUUGUAAUUGCUGAUGCCCUUUUGGCUUUGUGAGGUUGACAAGUGAAACUCCUUGUGUCAAAUCCCUGUGUUUACUAUUUUAGUGGUCUGGUCACUGGUAAACAGUCAGUGUACAUGGAAAGAUGUAUUGAUCCAGCAAGGCCAGUAGUUCACCUUUCAACGUGUCUGCACACAAUUUGUUUUUGUUAUGAGUUGGAUACUGUCGGUUCCAAAGUCCAAAGCAAUAUAAACAGUUGUCAAAUAUUCUAAUCAGAGUUUAGAAUAUAUCUUUCAGCAGCAUGUCUUUCUUUUUAUGGGACAGACACCCAAUUCAGAGUCUUGGUUCACUUAAUCACUUUGCCUCAAGUUCAACAUAGCAUCAGCAUUUAUUUUUAUAAACAAUAUUUGUGAAAUUAUUUGUGACAUAAUCAUAAUUUAUCUCUGUUAUGUGGAGGAUGUUUUGCAACAGCUGUUUGCUGAAGCAGUACAGCAUGUUUUGGACAGCUGUUUGCUGAAGCAGUACAACAUGUUUUGGGACAGCUGUUUGCUGAAGCAGUACAACAUGUUUUGGGACAGCUGUUUGGUGAAGCUUUACAACAUGUUUUGGGACAGCUGUUUGGUGAAACCUUACAGCAUGUUUUGGACAGCUGUUUGGUGAAGCUUUACAACAUGUUUUGGACAGCUGUUUGGUGAAGCUUUACAACAUGUUUUGGGACAGCGGUUUGGUGAAGCUUUACAACAUGUUUUGGGACAGCGGUUUAGUGAAGCUUUACAACAUGUUUUGGACAGCUGUUUGGUGAAACCUUACAGCAUGUUUUGGAACAGUGUUUUGGUGAAGCUUUACAACAUGUUUUGGGACAGCUGUUUGGUGAAGCUUUACAACAUGUUUUGGAAAGUCAAACUGAAAAGAAGGCAGCUACAGUUUGUCCAAAUUGAAAUGAAACGGCGAUUCCAUUCAGAACUGUCUCUCUUAAGAAUGGGCCUCUCCCUAUAGAGUAACUGACUUUUGAUUGUGUAAUAGGCUUUAUAAUAACAGCUACCAGGGUUGUUCCAUGAAAAGAGGGCAUUUUGGGUAGUGUAGUUCUUUUUAAAAACACAUUUUUAUUUCACCUAAUUAUAAUAUUUUGUCAUAAAGAGCAUGUUUCACUUCAUUAAAAAAACAUUUUCCCAUCUCAAGAGGUCAAAUUAAGAAAAAUGGCAAUCAAAGUAACAGGGAAAAGUAGCAAUUAAAGUAACAGGGUUGACCGUAACAGAGCCAGCACUCCCUUUGAGACAGGGGGAAUGGAAGCAUGUUGUGCGCAACGGGGAGGGGCAAUUGAAUGCAAGCUCCCCCUUUUUGCUCAGAACAGGCUCAAUUCAACGGGGCAUGGACUCUACAAGGUGUCGAAAGCGUUCCACAGGGAUGCUGGCCUAUGUUGACUCCAAUGCUUCCCGCUGUUGUGUGAAGUUGGCUGGAUGUCCUUUGGGUGGUGGACCAUUCUUGAUACACACAAACAGUUGAGCGUGAAAAACCCAGCAGCAUUGCAGUUCUUGACACACAUGGCGGUGCUCCUGGCACCUACUACCAUACCCCGUUUUUAAGACACUUAAAUGUUUAGUCUUGCCCAUUCGCUCUCUGAAUGGCACACAUACACAAUCCAUGUCUCAAUUGUCUCAAGGCUUGGAAAUCCUUCUUUAACCCAUAUCCUCUCCUUCAUCUACACUGAUUGAAGUGGAUUUAACAGGUGACAUCAAUAAGGGAUCAAAGAUUUCAACUGGAUUCACCUGGUCAGUCUAUGUCAUGGAAAGAGCAGGUGUUCCUAAUGUUUUGUACACUAAGUGUACACUGGAGUUGCUUACCAAGACGACGUUGAAUGUUCUUGAGUGGCCUAGUUACAGUCUUGACUUAAAUCAGCUUGAAAAUCUGAAAAUGGCUGAGCUUGAAGAAUUAAAAAAAAAAAGAAUACUGUGCAAAUAUUGUACAGUUCAAGUUUGCAAAGCUCUUAGAGAAUUACCCAGAAAGACUCGCAGCUGUAAUCGCUGCCAAUGACUCAGGGGUCUGAAUAAAUGAGAUAUUUCUGUAUUUCAUUUUCAAAUUAUUUGUCAAAAUAUCUACAAACAUGUUUUGUCACUAUCGUUAUUGGACGUUGUGUGUAGAUGGGUGAGAGAAAAAAAAUCAAUAAUGGUGAAAUGUUGGGGUUAAGUGGGUUCUAAUCUUCCUAAAUGUCAGAAAAACACAAUAUUGUAGAAGAGGUGUUCUACUAACAUAUCAUUGUGCAAGUACAGAGAUACUGUACCUAUCAACGUUGUGUCUGGUGGUGCUGGGGCUACCUUGCCAAGCAUGUCAGUCAUCAUACCUUCCUGUAUGGUGUCCCAUAUAGAUUUAGGCCACUUUAGCGAGACUUUAUUCAUAUAACAAUUUUGAUGUAUUAAAUGUUCCAUGUGAUUUAUUUUAAAGGUCACUUAAUUUAAUAAAACAAACGUUUAAAAUUCAGUAUUGAUGCACAGUUCCUACUUAAAAUAUCAAAGGGACGCUAUUCUUUGAAUGACCCACCAACAUCAGAGAGAAUUCAUUCUUGUCUGGCAGAUCAUGUGUUAAUUAGCCUGCAUGUGAAGUAGGCAGCUCAUGGAAUGUAGCCACCUCCAGCAGCCUGUGGUAAGGUGAGGCCCAAGGUUGUGACUAGAUGGAGUACAAAUACGACCGGAAGUUACUUUUCCUAGCAAUUCUCCUAACAUGGUACGUUAAUUCUCCUAACCUGGUACGUUAAUUCUCCUAACCUGGUACAUUAAUUCUCCUAACCUGGUACGUUAAUUCUCCUAACCUGGUACGUUAAUUCUCCUAACCUGGUACGUUAAUUCUCCUAACCUGGUGCGUAUGUUCUCCUAACCUGGUGCGUAUGUUCUCCUAACCUGGUGCGUAUGUUCUCCUAACCUGCUGCGUAUGUUCUCCUAACCUGCUGCGUAUGUUCUCCUAACCUGCUGCGUAUGUUCUCUUAACCUGCUGCGUAUGUUCUCUUAACCUGCUGCGUAUGUUCUCCUAACCUGCUGCGUAUGUUCUCCUAACCUGCUGCGUAUGUUCUCCUAACCUGCUGCGUAUGUUCUCCUAACCUGCUGCGUAUGUUCUCCUAACCUUGUGCGUAAAUUCUCCUAACCUGCUGCGUAUGUUCUCCUAACCUGCUGCGUAUGUUCUCCUAACCUGCUGCGUAUGUUCUCCUAACCUGCUGCGUAUGUUCUCCUAACCUGCUGCGUAUGUUCUCCUAACCUGCUGCGUUAGUUCUCCUAACCUGCUGCGUAUGUUCUCCUAACCUGCUGCGUUAGUUCUCCUAACCUGCUGCGUAUGUUCUCCUAACCUGCUGCGUUAGUUCUCCUAACCUGCUGCGUUAGUUCUCCUAACCCGCUGGGUAAAUUCUCCUAACCCGCUGCAUUAAUUCACCUAACCCGCUGCAUAAGUUAUCCUAACCUGAUGCGUUAGUUCUCCUAACCUGGUGCGUUAGUUCUCCUAACCUGGUGCGUAAGUUCUCCUAACCUGGUGCGUUAGUUCUCCUAAUCUGCUGCAUAAGUUCAUGGUGAAGGCAUGGCCACUGGCCAGCCCUGGUUCCUGCCUCCUACAUUACCCAUGUACAUGUUCCUCCCAUUGAGCUUGAUUAUUAGUGAACAAUGUCAUAAUGAACAGCACAGGAGAACACACCCUUGUUGAGCUUUACAUUGGCAUUUCUCGCAUUGCAGACUAUCCUAUGUAUCUGCACGGUGUCCUCAAAAUAAGGAAUAAACUUCAUAUACCUGAACAUGAUUUCCCUCUAGCCUGUUCUCAUUAACCAAACCUGCCCAGAUGCAGGGUUGGAGGUACAGUCAUGCAAGUACAGUGUUUUUACACCUUAAUACCUUAAUCUGACGCUCUAAAUUUCUCUACUCUGUAUGGUAUGGCAAUGCAGUUGAAUAAUGUCUCUAUUGUAUUGACACUGUGUUUUGAAGGCCACUUUCUGUGUGGGAACAACCUCUGUGAGAAGGAGGAGGACCUGAAGAGCUGGGACGUGAACUUUGCCCAUGUGGAGCAGGGAGAGAAGAGAAACACAUGGGUCAAACUCAGAGAAAGGAGGUGAUCGCCAAGAAGAAAAAAGAAGAAAGCAGAGACAAGUCGUCUGAGGAAAAUCAAGUUGAACCACAGGCAAAAAGAUCCAAGAAAGCAGAGACAAACAUCAGAGGAGACAGAAAGACAAGACUCUACCAUUUCAUAUCUUUGUACAACUAUGGCUCAGGCCCCUCCUAACGCUCCUCCCCCAGGAACUCUGAGGACAACUCCCAGCAGUCAGACAAAGGAGAGGGAGAACACAGUGAGGAGCCAAAGGGCCUGUCGGAGGCAGACCACUGGAAAGGCCCAGCCCCCACCGUGGAGGAGGAGUCCAG